GGGAUGAUCGAAGGAUUGAAUUACAUGGUAACUUACCACUGAAGAGUAUAUUUGAUAUUUUUAUUAAAUUUUAUAUCUUCUGAAUAGUUAUGAUACAUUGCUAGACGUCAAUCUUAAUUUGUAGGUCUGAUCGAAUUAAAGAGUUUAAUUCGAUCGUCAAUUAGAAAGAGUUCUAAUUGCUGAAAUCAGGUUAGCUCGAUUGGACCUAAAUCGGUUAGAUUAAAAUCUAAUCAAAUUAGGUCAAUUUAUAUUUGAAUCUACUACUAGCUAGAUAUAGAACUCAAUGGUUCAUACACAUAUAAAAAUUGACCAAGGAU
Molecule: long non-coding RNA, 317 nt
Filed under: Elaeis guineensis (African oil palm)
Lineage: Eukaryota; Viridiplantae; Streptophyta; Magnoliopsida; Arecales; Arecaceae
Description: long non-coding RNA (EGUI_LNC044025)
Source: RNAcentral